This 486-nucleotide ribosomal RNA is filed under the name uncultured bacterium. RNAcentral's name for it is "partial 16S ribosomal RNA". It matches the Rfam family "Bacterial small subunit ribosomal RNA", at positions 29 to 507 of the family's 1533-position model. The record is from RNAcentral.
AUUGAACGCUGGCGGCAUGCUUUACACAUGCAAGUCGAGCGGCAGCGCGGGGGCAACCCUGGCGGCGAGCGGCGAACGGGUGAGUAAUGCAUCGGAACGUAUCCUCGAGUGGGGGAUAACCCAGCGAAAGUUGGGCUAAUACCGCAUGAGCUCUGAGGAGGAAAGCGGGGGACCUGCGAGGGCCUCGCGCUGGAGGAGCGGCCGAUGUCCGAUUAGCUAGUUGGUGGGGUAAAGGCUUACCAAGGCGACGAUCGGUAGCUGGUUUGAGAGGAUGAUCAGCCACACUGGGACUGAGACACGGCCCAGACUCCUACGGGAGGCAGCAGUGGGGAAUUUUGGACAAUGGGGGCAACCCUGAUCCAGCCAUGCCGCGUGAGUGAAGAAGGCCUUCGGGUUGUAAAGCUCUUUCGGACGGAACGAAAUGGGCGGGACUAAUACUCCGGUCUGAUGACGGUACCGUAAGAAGAAGCACCGGCUAACUACGUG